Molecule: ribosomal RNA, 332 nt
Filed under: uncultured eukaryote
Lineage: Eukaryota
Description: partial 18S ribosomal RNA
Rfam family: Eukaryotic small subunit ribosomal RNA
Source: RNAcentral
CCCUUAGAUGUUCUGGGCCGCACGCGCGCUACGCUGUUCGACGCAGCGAGUCUUAACCUUGACCGAAAGGUUUGGGUAAUCUUCAGCAAAGUCGAACGUGAUGGGGAUCGAUCAUUGCAAUUAUUGAUCGUGAACGAGGAAUUCCUAGUAAGUGCAAGUCAUCAGCUUGCGCUGAUUACGUCCCUGCCCUUUGUACACACCGCCCGUCGCUACUACCGAUUGAAUGGUUUAGUGAGAUCUCUGGAUUGACGCUGGCUAGGGGGCGACCCUUGGCCAGACUGCUCGAGAAACUGCUCAAACUUGAUCAUUUAGAGGAAGUAAAAGUCGUAACA